CCUACGGGUGGCAGCAGUCGAGAAUUAUUCACAAUGGGGGAAACCCUGAUGGGGCGACGCCGCGUGGGGGAAUGAAGGUCUGCGGAUUGUAAACCCCUGUCAUGGGGGAGCAAAUUAAAAAGAGAGUACCACAAGAGGAAGAGACGGCGAACGCGGUGCCAGCAGCCGCGGUAAUACAGAGGUCUCAAGCGUUGUUCGGAAUCACUGGGCGUAAAGCGUGCGUAGGCUGUUUCGUAAGUCGUGUGUGAAAGGCGCGGGCUCAACCCGCGGACGGCACAUGAUACUGCGAGACUAGUGUACUGGAGGGCGCACCGGAAUUCUCGGUGUCGCCGU
This 333-nucleotide ribosomal RNA is filed under the name uncultured bacterium. RNAcentral's name for it is "partial 16S ribosomal RNA". It matches the Rfam family "Bacterial small subunit ribosomal RNA", at positions 338 to 682 of the family's 1533-position model. The record is from RNAcentral.